UACAGAGGGUGCAAGCGUUAAUCGGAGUUACUGGGCGUAAAGGGCGCGUAGGCGGUUGUGUAAGUGAGAUGUGAAAUCCCUGGGCUUAACCUAGGAACUGCAUCUUAUACUGCAUAACUGGAGUACUGUAGAGGGUAGUGGAAUUUCCGGUGUAGCGGUGAAAUGCGUAGAGAUCGGAAGGAACACCAGUGGCGAAGGCGGCUACCUGGACAGAUACUGACACUGAGGCGCGAGAGCGUGGGGAGCAAACAGG
RNAcentral lists this ribosomal RNA (253 nucleotides) under uncultured bacterium. RNAcentral's name for it is "partial 16S ribosomal RNA". It matches the Rfam family "Bacterial small subunit ribosomal RNA", at positions 524 to 776 of the family's 1533-position model. The record is from RNAcentral.